UACGUAGGGGGCGAGCGUUGUCCGGAAUUAUUGGGCGUAAAGAGCUUGUAGGCGGUUUGUCGCGUCUGCUGUGAAAACCGGAGGCUCAACCUCCGGCCUGCAGUGGGUACGGGCAAACUAGAGUGCGGUAGGGGAGAUUGGAAUUCCUGGUGUAGCGGUGGAAUGCGCAGAUAUCAGGAGGAACACCGAUGGCGAAGGCAGAUCUCUGGGCCGUAACUGACGCUGAGGAGCGAAAGCGUGGGGAGCGAACAGG
RNAcentral lists this ribosomal RNA (253 nucleotides) under uncultured bacterium. RNAcentral describes it as "partial 16S ribosomal RNA". It matches the Rfam family "Bacterial small subunit ribosomal RNA", at positions 524 to 776 of the family's 1533-position model. The record is from RNAcentral.